This 226-nucleotide unclassified non-coding RNA is filed under the name Hevea brasiliensis (rubber tree). The record is from RNAcentral. Lineage: Eukaryota; Viridiplantae; Streptophyta; Magnoliopsida; Malpighiales; Euphorbiaceae.
UCUAAUUCCAAAUACGCUAAUACCUUGUAUUUUCCCUCUUGCUAAAGCUCAAAGCAGUGGUGUAUGUUGUAAACAAUUGCGUUGCAGAUAGAUAGUUCUUGUUUUCUUUCUUUUUCUAAGGCCAGCAGUCAGUACUAUACUCGGCAACUGGAAACUAGCAAAGGAAACUGUGAAUUGGCUUGAUAAUUAAAGAGGGGCUAACUCUACAAAAGAUGGACGGUCCUGA